AUGAAUGGUGUGUUGACAAAAGGUGGAAAAGGAUAUUUCAUGACUCUAAUCGAUGACUCUACUAGAUAUUGCAUGAUAUAUUUGUUGAAAACAAAAGAUGAGGCUUUGCACUACUUUAAAAUCUACAAGGCCGAAGCAGAGAAUCAACUCGAUCGAAAGAUCAAAAGGCUUAGGUCGGAUCGCGGUGGAGAGUAUUUUUCCAAUGAGUUCAAUUUAUUUUGUGAGGAACAUGGUAUAAUACAUGAGAGGACGCCUCCCUACUCUCGCCAGUCAAACGGGGUUGCCGAACGAAAGAACCGAACUCUAGCUGAUUUGGUUAACACCAUGUUAGAUACAGCGGGACUUUCCAGGGAAUGGUGGGGGGAGGCUUUGAUGACUGCAAGUCAUGUCCUAAAUAGAGUUCCUACGAAGAAUAAAGAGAUUACCCCGUUUGAAGGAUGGGAAAGGAAAAGGCUUAAACUUUCCUACUUACGAACUUGGGGUUGUUUGGCGAAAGUCAAUGUACCAAUUACCAAGAAGCGCAAGCUUGGGCCAAAAACAGUUGAUUGCGUUUUCCUGGGUUAUGCUUUCCAUAGCAUUGGCUAUAGAUUUCUAGUGGUGAAAUCUGAGGUACUUGACAUGAAUGUUGGUACCAUCAUGGAGUCAAAUGAUGCGACUUUCUUUGAGGAUAUUUUUCCUAUGAAGGAUAUGCCUAGCUCAUCUAGUCAGAGGUCACAACUCAUGGACCUACUGUUCCAUUGGAACAUUCCGAGAAGAAACACACAGAUAUUCCUAAGGAGGAUGACAAUGAAGCUCCUAGAAGGAGCAAGAGACAAAGGACCACAAAGUCAUUUGGUGAAGAUUUCAUUGUGUACCUCGUGA
RNAcentral lists this ribosomal RNA (861 nucleotides) under Triticum aestivum (bread wheat). Its description in RNAcentral is "partial small subunit ribosomal RNA". Lineage: Eukaryota; Viridiplantae; Streptophyta; Magnoliopsida; Poales; Poaceae. The record is from RNAcentral.